GAAACUCUGUAGGCUGUGGAUGCGACCAGCAGAAAAUGAAAGUUUGGAGUCUGAGUAAACAAGCCGAAACAUAGCUGGCCCAAAGGAAUUGAUUUUAACUUGGAUGAUUGGAGCCCAUUAUUAUCUAUUGAUUGAUUGCAGUGGCGUGAUAGAUGCAAUAUCGGGGACAACUUUGAUGGUGAAAGCAUUUCUGACAAUGUGACAAAUUCAUAUUCAUGAUGGUGUUACAUCAAAUACCAUUUUUGGUCGCAUAAGACAUGGAAGAUGUGGUUGUUUCAGAUUAUUUCAUGGCUGAUAGCUUAUGACUAAGGUCCUAACUAUAUGCCAUUUCUUUCUUCUUCUUCUUCCUCUUUUUUUUUUAUUUCUAUUUUUUUUUUUUAUUAAAAAGAAAGAUACGCCAUUUCAAUUUGAGCUGUCCUAUUUUCAAACGUUAGAUAGAGACGUUCACAUUGCAAUUCUCUUUGGCAUUUUACUUGUGGUAAAAAAAGGGUUGGAAUGUUUUUCUUCUGUGAAAGAGAGAAAGGAGCAUGGAGGGAAGCUGAAAUAUUUCCAUAAUGUUUUUCUUGUUCAAUCCCUUAAAGAUAAUAUGAAAUUUUAUUUAGUGAUAACGCA
Long non-coding RNA from Ziziphus jujuba (common jujube), 612 nucleotides. RefSeq lists it as uncharacterized. Lineage: Eukaryota; Viridiplantae; Streptophyta; Magnoliopsida; Rosales; Rhamnaceae. The record is from RefSeq and is a predicted model, not a curated record. The transcript has 2 exons.